Molecule: long non-coding RNA, 1554 nt
Filed under: Corvus moneduloides (New Caledonian crow)
Lineage: Eukaryota; Metazoa; Chordata; Aves; Passeriformes; Corvidae
Description: lncRNA (ENSCMUG00000020241.1)
Source: RNAcentral
AUGUAUGUAUGCAGCCAGCUCUGCCCUCCUCAUCGCCUAUUCCUGACUGUGUCCUGGGAAGAGCAGAGCUUUCCCAGCCGGGCUGGAUCCGGAGCUGGACGUGCUCUGCAGCUUACCCAGGCUGGGGAGGAAUCGCACCAAACCGUGCUCGUCCCUGGGCAUUUAGUUUUAUUGCGAGCAUUAGUGGUUUGUGCUCGGCUUGUCUCCUCUGGCAACAGGAGAAGCUGGAAAUGUCAAAGGGGAGGGUUAACAAACUCCGCUGGCAUAAAUUUCAAUGAAUGUAUGUUUCUUAGGAAAACCGCUAAGUUAAAAAAAAAAAAAUUAAAUCUUCCCGUGUGUGUUUUCCUUGGGCUGCUGUUCACAAUGGAUAAUAAUUCUUACAUUAAGCCCCUUCGGCCCUCCAGGGAAAUCAAAAUUGUAAUAUCAGUUUGCUUUUUAUUGGCUCGGCUCUGCGAUCGCGGCGGCUGCGUCUUUGUUAGGGGCUGCGGCGCGGUGACAUUCAGCGGUGCCUCCCGGUGUGUCCCCCUCCGGUGCCUCCGCACCUCCGGGCCCGGGCAGGGCCCCCGAGGGUGCGGGCUGCUGCUGGCCGGGGUCGCGGCGGCCGGGCGAGCCUGCGGGCCGGGCUGGGACCGAGCCCGGGGGAACGAGGAACGUGCUCGGGGGACGGGAGUGCUGCCCUACCCGGGCAAAGGAGCCGCUCCGGGCCCGGUGCCGUUCGAGCUCAGCCCCGCCGCUCCCGGCGAAAGUUGCCGGGAGCCCCACGGGCGGCCCGGCCCCGCGGGGACCAAUCGCCCUAGGCGAGGGCCGGCGGGACGCCGCGGCCCGGCAGAGCCGGGGGGGAAAAGGGGGACGGUGGCACCGAGAUCCCCCGCCCACGCCAGCCCCAGGGACGGCCCCCUUGUCAGCGGGCAAGGAGACUCCGGUUGCUCCGGGGCGCCGGCUCGGGGACACAGCCGGGCACCUGAGAGGACCGAGUCCCGUGAGCCGAGCCCCCCGGGAGGGGUCGAGGGUUCCUCGCCGCCUCGGGUAUCACCCCACGCGUGCCCGCGGCCCCGCCGUCCUGCCCCGGCCGUGCGGCGCCCGGGGCGCUCCCAUAGCGGCGGCGGGAGGCCCGGAGGUGCCGGCCCGCACGGCGGGGGCUGCACGGGGCUCACACCGGGACGGUGUCCGGCCCCGCUCCACCUGUCCGGGGAAAGGUGCCUCCCGCUCCGGCACCGCCACGUUUCCCGGAGCAGCGCAGGGAGCGGCCGGGUGGCCCCGCUGGCAGCCGCGGACACGCGUGUGCUCCAGCCUGCUCCCCGCGAUCCGCUCCACGAGGAGGGAGUGCGCGGAGCCGCCCGCACCGGGCUCCCCGAGCGGCCCCGCCGCCGUGCGCGGCUUCCGGCACCGGGCGGGGAAAGCGCCGCCACCUGCCCCGGGCCCGGGCCCGCUGCCGCCGCCGCUGGGUGUCCCCGGGCCGGGCGCUCCACGGCCGCAGGGACCCGCCGGGCAGCGGGGACAGGGCUUCCCCGGCAGGGUCGGGCCCACGGCUGGCGGCAGCGGCUGGGGCCGUGA